Microtus oregoni (creeping vole) is the source of this 949-nucleotide long non-coding RNA. RefSeq lists it as uncharacterized. The transcript is spliced from 3 exons. NCBI's taxonomy places the organism in Eukaryota, Metazoa, Chordata, Mammalia, Rodentia, Cricetidae. The record is from RefSeq and is a predicted model, not a curated record.
GCACAGCCCGCUGCGUCUUCGAUCUGCGCACAACGCGGGACGAAGACGCGCGCGCGGGGGCCCGGGGAGGCCGUAGGGUUUGGUUCCCCACCAGCAAGAUGAAGUAACGAUGCGAAACUGAUCACAUCGCUGAAGAGUUGACAUGAGAGAAUGUGCAUCAGCAUCCAGCUCAGGUCCCUGCCUGUGGAAGGAGAGAUUGUGGGAAAACAAAAUGACAGAGAGGCGUGGUAUUGCUCCUAUAACUUGGAACUGGAGAGGAGGCAAGAUGCUGGCAUAGCUGUUGAACUGAGAGCCUGCUAUGCCAGUAUAUUGCCAUCUUUCCUGUCUGACAGCAACUUGGCCACCUCCAUGCUGCUUCUCCGUAUCUUGCUACAACCAAUACACAACAUGUAGGGCUUUCGUGACGUGGUCUGCCCUACCCCGACUUCUCUCCAGUCAUCUACCAAAUCACUUGCUCCAUUCUAUCCACACUGGCCUUUGGGGGCGGUUCUGAGACGUACCACGGAUGGUCCUGCCUCUUCACUCAUCUUUCUUUGUUUCAUCAUUUGGCUGCCAGUGAAGACAUCGUGUUCUUGGAAAACUCUUUCAUAGUGGCCUUGUCUAUAAAAGCUUCCAUGUGCCCAGCCACUGUUCAUCUCAUGACCCUGCUCUGUCUUUUCAAAAAUAUUGGUCUUUAUCUGAACAUGUUUGCUUGCUGCCUUAUUUCCUGUACCGGACUGUGAGUCCUUUAAGGGAGACCAGUCUUGACGUGCUUAUUCACUGUAUCCCUAGAGCCUGACACUUGUAAGUCCUCAAUUCGUGUUUUUGAAACUCUACCCUGAACUUAUUGUGCAACAGAGGUGUCAAAUAAUUAGAUCUUAUCAUGCCAUGAAGGAUUCUGACGAAACACUGGUUUAUAAGUAACAAAGCAUAAAUAAGUAAUAUUGAUUUCUAGGCCUGCAACCCAGCA